RNAcentral lists this ribosomal RNA (253 nucleotides) under uncultured bacterium. RNAcentral describes it as "partial 16S ribosomal RNA". It matches the Rfam family "Bacterial small subunit ribosomal RNA", at positions 524 to 776 of the family's 1533-position model. The record is from RNAcentral.
UACGGAGGGUGCGAGCGUUGUCCGGAUUUAUUGGGUUUAAAGGGUGCGUAGGCGGCGCGUUAAGUCCGGGGUGAAAGCCCGUUGCUCAACAACGGAAUUGCCCCGGAUACUGGCGGGCUUGAGUGGGGUCGAGGCCGGCGGAAUGGGCGGAGUAGCGGUGAAAUGCAUAGAUACCGUCCAGAACCCCGAUUGCGAAGGCAGCUGGCUGGGCCUUUACUGACGCUGAGGCACGACAGCGUGGGGAGCGAACAGG